Molecule: long non-coding RNA, 844 nt
Organism: Esox lucius (northern pike)
Lineage: Eukaryota; Metazoa; Chordata; Actinopteri; Esociformes; Esocidae
Exons: 3
Source: RefSeq, a predicted model, not a curated record
GUCAGUUUGUGUUAGCCACAAGAUAAUAAUAAAAUUUUUUUGGCCAAAUCAUAAUCUUGGAAAACUCACCUUUUAGUAUGAGGAAACAAGCUGAUUCCUUCAGAGCGAGACAAAGGAGAAGCACCAGACAAAUUCAGCUGCAUGUACAGGAUAAAAGUCACCAUGUUCCGGAUCUGGAUCACGAGGUCCCGGAUCUGGAUCUGGCACAAAUGAAGCACUGGAUGUUUCCCUAUCUUUGACUUGAAUACUCCCUGAACUACCAAAAGAUCCAAGAACGUUGUUUGUGUCACGGUGCAGUGAGCAUCAGUGCCACCGUCCCGUACACCACCAGUUCCCAUCACUCCACAAACACAUCCCGGACUUGUCUUCGUGUCACAACUAUUCACACCAGGUCCCAAUCAUCUCGUUAGUAUGUGUUUAAAUGUUUCCCCUCUGCUCCCCACAUUUGUUGUUUUCGGUCAGUGUGCUUCAUGUAACUGGUGAGUGUUUCCGUUUUGCUGUUCACAGAUUCAGUCCCUUUUGUUUUUCCUUAACUUUGAUUUGUGUGCUCUGUGUUUGUUUUUCAUUAAACACAACUACCUGGAGUAUAUUCGGCUGCGCCUGGUUCCUCCACUACCGCCCCACCGUUACAGAAUGAUCGACCAAAAAGGAACCCGCAGGCGUGCAAGGAAAACCAGCCAUUGUCACAGGGAUAACUCCUUGAUUGGGGGUCUGACUCCCUCUCCUCGGAUGAUGAGGAGGUGCUGUAUGGGAGAGUGGAGGAAGACCCCCUGGGGGAGCAAAGCUGGAGGUCGCCCCAAUAACUUUUUGGGGGGAUGCUAUGGGGCGUAGACCAAUGGGGAGA